RNAcentral lists this ribosomal RNA (161 nucleotides) under uncultured bacterium. Its description in RNAcentral is "partial 16S rRNA". It matches the Rfam family "Bacterial small subunit ribosomal RNA", at positions 355 to 509 of the family's 1533-position model. The record is from RNAcentral.
UAGGGAAUCUUCCACAAUGGGCGAAAGCCUGAUGGAGCAACGCCGCGUGUGUGAUGAAGGGCUUCGGCUCGUAAACACUGUUGUAAGAGAAGAAUGACAUUGAGAGUAACUGUUCAAUGUGUGACGGUAUCUUACCAGAAAGGAACGGCUAAAUACGUGCC